ACGGCGUAUAAGGCGUAGGUGACGUACCUCCCGAUUCAGGAUAGCUACGGGAAACUGUAGGUAAUACUGGAUAACCCCUCCGGAAUUGAAAACCGGAGUGCAAAGGUGUGAUUCCGUCAGGAGAGCGGCUUACGUGGUAUUAGCUAGUUGGUGAGGUAAUGGCUCACCAAGGCUACAAUGCCUAGGGGGUGUUAGCGCAUGGCCCCCACGACUGGGACUGAAAUACUGCCCAAACACCUACGGGUGGCUGCAGUCGAAAAUCUUCAGCAAUGGGCGCAAGCCUGACCGAGCGACGCCGCGUGCGGGAUGAAGGCCCUUGGGUUGUAAACCGCUGUCAGAGGGGAUGAAAUGCGGGUGGGUUCUCCCAUCCGUUUGACAUAGCCUCAGAGGAAGCACGGGCUAAGUUCGUGCCAGCAGCCGCGGUAAUACGAACUGUGCAAACGUUAUUCGGAAUCACUGGGCUUAAAGGGUGCGUAGGCGGCCAGAUAAGUAAGGUGUGAAAGCCCCCGGCUCAACCGGGGAAUGGCGCUCUAAACUGUCUGGCUGGAGUGAGAUAGGGGUGUGCGGAACUUCCGGUGGAGCGGUGAAAU
RNAcentral lists this ribosomal RNA (590 nucleotides) under uncultured bacterium. Its description in RNAcentral is "bacterial SSU rRNA". It matches the Rfam family "Bacterial small subunit ribosomal RNA", at positions 100 to 687 of the family's 1533-position model. The record is from RNAcentral.